This 550-nucleotide ribosomal RNA is filed under the name uncultured bacterium. RNAcentral's name for it is "bacterial SSU rRNA". It matches the Rfam family "Bacterial small subunit ribosomal RNA", at positions 364 to 914 of the family's 1533-position model. The record is from RNAcentral.
UUGCGCAAUGGAGGAAACUCUGACGCAGCCACGCCGCGUGCAGGAUGACACCCCUAUGGGGCGUAAACUGCUUUUAUGUGAGAAGAAAUCCCGACUCGGUCGGGCCUGACGGUAUCACAGGAAUAAGCACCGGCUAACUCCGUGCCAGCAGCCGCGGUAAUACGGAGGGUGCAAGCGUUGUCCGGAAUCACUGGGUGUAAAGGGUGUGUAGGCGGGACUGUAAGUCAGAGGUGAAAUCCCACGGCUCAACCGUGGAACUGCCUUUGAUACUGCAGUUCUUGAGUAUCGGAGAGGUUGCUGGAAUUCGUGGUGUAGCGGUGAAAUGCGUAGAUAUCACGAGGAACACCAGAGGCGUAGGCGGGCAACUGGACGAUUACUGACGCUGAGGCACGAAAGCGUGGGGAGCAAACAGGAUUAGAUACCCUGGUAGUCCACGCUGUAAACGAUGAAUGCUCGAUGUUGCACCAAUUGCGGUGCAGUGUCUAAGCUAACGCGUUAAGCAUUCCACCUGGGGAGUACGCUCGCAAGAGUGAAACUUAAAUGAAUUGAC